CGAGCGAGACCUUCGGGUCUAGCGGCGGACGGGUGAGUAACGCGUGGGAACGUACCCUUCUCUGCGGAAUAGCCACUGGAAACGGUGAGUAAUACCGCAUACGCCCUUCGGGGGAAAGAUUUAUCGGGGAAGGAUCGGCCCGCGUCUGAUUAGGUAGUUGGUGGGGUAAUGGCCUACCAAGCCUACGAUCAGUAGCUGGUUUUAGAGGAUGAUCAGCCACACUGGGACUGAGACACGGCCCAG
Molecule: ribosomal RNA, 243 nt
Filed under: uncultured bacterium
Lineage: Bacteria
Description: partial 16S ribosomal RNA
Rfam family: Bacterial small subunit ribosomal RNA
Source: RNAcentral